This 378-nucleotide long non-coding RNA is filed under the name Nicotiana benthamiana. RNAcentral describes it as "long non-coding RNA (NBEN_LNC031425)". The record is from RNAcentral. Lineage: Eukaryota; Viridiplantae; Streptophyta; Magnoliopsida; Solanales; Solanaceae.
UCGACAACAGUGACACUCGCGUAGAGGCACACCACAAAGAACAAAUAGUGUGUGAAGCCCGGGUGCAAACGGACCAUGAAAUAGCAAACAGUUCCAGAAAGAAACGUGAUCAAUAUCAGGAAUGGCAUCGCGGAUAAGGUGUUGCUCACGACGAAUGCAGUAACACCAUAAUGUCCAUUUAAACGGACCAUGAAAUAGCAGACAGUGCCUGAUAGGAACGUGAUUAAUAUCAGGAAUGGCAUCGCGGAUAAGGUGUUGCUCACGACGAAUGCAGUAACACCAUAAUGUCCAUUCAUCCUCUCUCUUUGAAAAACCUGUUUUCAACGGGGGGAAAAUGGCUCAAGUUGUUAUAUAUAGUGUGCUGUCAAAAAAUUGGAU